CCUCCCUUUCGUUUUGCCCAUCUGUCCACACACUUUUUGGAGCAAAUGUACCAGAGGAAGAGAGAAAGAUAACUGAUCGCGAUCCACUUCCGGGUUCGUGGAACGCAAAAUGGAACGCAUACGGCGCACGUGAUGACGUCAUCCGGCUUGUUGCCGCCGAAACGGAAAUUGAACACCGGCCGAAAAUCUCUGAAUAAUCAAUGGGGGAUGUAUAAAAGGACUGUGGGAGGGAUAUUUUUGAUUGCUGCUAUUACUAUUACUGUACUUUAUUUCACCAAGUCCCUGAG
Non-coding RNA from Pelobates cultripes (western spadefoot toad), 287 nucleotides. NCBI's taxonomy places the organism in Eukaryota, Metazoa, Chordata, Amphibia, Anura, Pelobatidae. The record is from the annotation of a GenBank genome assembly.